UGGCACAGCCAUAUCAAGAUUGGUUACCCAAGCCCAAGAUUGGUUACUCACUUAAGCUAAGCAGGUCUGAGCCUGGUUAGUACCUGUGUGGGAGACAGCAUAGGAAAACUAGGUUGCUUUUGGAA
Molecule: ribosomal RNA, 125 nt
Organism: Danio rerio (zebrafish)
Lineage: Eukaryota; Metazoa; Chordata; Actinopteri; Cypriniformes; Danionidae
Source: Ensembl